RNAcentral lists this ribosomal RNA (373 nucleotides) under uncultured bacterium. RNAcentral's name for it is "bacterial SSU rRNA". It matches the Rfam family "Bacterial small subunit ribosomal RNA", at positions 29 to 432 of the family's 1533-position model. The record is from RNAcentral.
AACGAACGCUGGCGGCAGGCCUAACACAUGCAAGUCGAACGCCCCGCAAGGGGAGUGGCAGACGGGUGAGUAACGCGUGGGAACGUGCCCUUCGGUUCGGAAUAACUCAGGGAAACUUGAGCUAAUACCGGAUACGUCCGUAAGGAGAAAGAUUUAUCGCCGAAGGAUCGGCCCGCGUCGGAUUAGCUAGUUGGUGAGGUAACGGCCCACCAAGGCGACGAUCCGUAGCCGGCCUGAGAGGGCGGUCGGCCACACUGACACUGACAUACGGUCAGACUCCUACGGGAGGCAGCAGUCGGGAAUUUUGGGCAAUGGGCGAAAGCCUGACCCAGCAACGCCGCGUGAAGGAUGAAAUCCCUCGGGAUGUAAACUU